This 1227-nucleotide long non-coding RNA is filed under the name Gopherus evgoodei (Goodes thornscrub tortoise). RNAcentral describes it as "lncRNA (ENSGEVG00005009858.1)". The record is from RNAcentral. Lineage: Eukaryota; Metazoa; Chordata; Testudines; Testudinidae.
GUCAAAAUCAAACCUGUAAUACUCCUGAAUUGCUCUUGCUGAGUAACAGCUACAUGUUUCUGUUGGUCUUGAGUUUCUUGAUGGUAGGCAGGAUCCUCUGCUACCUAGCUACUGCUGGCACAUUUCCUUCUUAACGACUGGCCUCAUUUCCUUGGCAUUGAACUAUCAACCACCGCAGGUGCGGAGUUCUCGUUAUCUGUAGCCCUGUAUUGGGUAAGAUGUGCCUCCCCUGCUUCAGCACCAGGUGGCCGGGCGGGCGCGAGCUGUAGCGGGUACGAGGGGGGUGUCCGCGUGACCUGAGCACAACGGGGCGGACAGAGGAGUUGGCGCAAGGGGGACGAGAACGCGCCAGAGCGGUUUGAAGCGAGUUGCUAGGAGACUGAUGUGCGCGGGGCCAAUGGGGAGGCCAUUGGCUAUGACGCUAGGGGUGUGCGAGCGCGCGGGAAGCCUCACACCCCGCCCCGCCUCCCUCGGGAGUUGGUGGGUCAGGGUGAAUUUCCGCGCCACUCCCCGAGGGCGAGGGAGGGGGCAGGGUCCCAGGGAAGGAGGCUAACCGCGCCCCCUCCCUUCCCGUGUCGGAGCGCUGGGUCUCUACGGCUUAAGGUGCAGCCCCCUGCUCUGGAUUAAGGGCGGGCGCCGCCGACCGGACGGAGAUGCGGGGCUCCUGGGGCGCGGGCGGGGCGCCUCCUGCUGGGGCAUGUGCCGGGCUACGCAGCAGGGAGCGGUGUUGCUCCAUCCACCGCCCAUGAGGAGGGCAGGUUGGGGGCGUGGCUACGUUGGAGCUCCGCGGCCACGGACUGGGGGAUGUAGUGCGCACUGAGCGCCCUGCCUUGAAGGCACAACGUGCCGCCGCUCCACACCCUCGUGUGUAAACCCGGCAGGACGGGAACGCGCCGCGGAGACCCCUGGUGAGAGGCGGAUGCCUGCGCCAAUGGGAGGCGGCCCUCUCUUUAUUCAUUAUCCCGCAGGUCCCAGCGGCCAAUGAGCGGCGCGCUGCGGGCAGGGGGCGGGGUUCGGUCAGUGCCGGCAGGAGCGGGCGCUGCCUCGGACUCCGGCAGACGCUGAAGAGGCGGCGUGGCAGCGAGUCGGGAGUUGGUGCGGUGCUGGGCGCUCGGGCGGGGACAUGGGGCCGCCAGUGGCGUGAGGUGCGGGCUUCGCUACCCGGGGGUCUGAGCUCGGCGCGGCGGCCGAAGGGAGCCCGGCUGUGCCUGUAUCGGCGGCGGCUCG